This is a long non-coding RNA of Vespa velutina, 3059 nucleotides long. RefSeq lists it as uncharacterized. Lineage: Eukaryota; Metazoa; Arthropoda; Insecta; Hymenoptera; Vespidae. The transcript is spliced from 7 exons. The record is from RefSeq and is a predicted model, not a curated record.
AGUUAUAACGAGUUUACACGUUGUUUUGUCGUUUUGCAUAAUUACGGAUAAUUAGUAGAUUUUUUUCUAACAUACAUCCUCUUCCGAUAUAUCGGUCGAUAACGGAAUGCGCGAUUCUUUGCGCACUUUUUUGUCUUCUAUUUUCUAGCUUUAUUUUCAUAAUAUUGAAACUUUUCUCGCUUUUACACUAUCUGAUUAAUAAUUUUGUGUUUAUAAUUGUGAUCGAUCGAUGUUGUAUUAAAUUCAAUAUUCGUAUAUACUUAUAUAUAUUAUGUAAGUAUAUAUAUAUAUGUUUUUUCGUAACCCGUUUGAUUUAUUUUUAAAAUAAUCUGAUUAAAUAAAAUUAGAUGCAAUAUAAAUUCGCGAUGUAGAGUCAGUGUUGGUACAUAUUCUUCAUGAUCCUGGGACUGAAAGGUCAUCGUGCAAAAGAUCAACAAAAACUGGUUCAAUAAAAGAAGAAUCAUUCGUUAUCGUUCUGAGGCAGAAUGCUCAUCGUGCAAAGGAUCAGCAAAAACUAAUAAUCAUUGCUUCUCAAGUCAAUUUCGAUCUACAUCGCAAAUGAGUAUUUUGGAACCACCAUAGAACUUUUUAAGUAACGGAAUUUUCUAAAAUUCCAUCCCUGCCAUGGCUCACGGCGGCGACAUCCCCCACUACGCACGACGACAUCAUUCCCAUUACGACGCUACUUCGAUCCGCCUACCGCAGCGCAGCCGAUAUAUACGUAGUUGCGCUCCACGACUCUUCGGUUAUAUUGUUCGGUCGUUCGACUACUACAAUUCGGUUAUAUCGUUCUGUCGUUCAACCAAUUCACUUCGGUUAUUUUUCAUCGUUCGUCAGUUACACUACGUGGCUACUAUACGUUACGUCUCCUUCUUAUACGAAUUUCGUUCUCUAAUAUUUUAAACGAUUGUACAGUGUUACUUGGCAACUAUUAAUAAAUUAGUUUUGUUAAGUUUAAAUCAGUGUUUGUUCAUAUAACCCCGGCUGUGCUUCCCAGGCAGCCUCGCGUAAUUCUAACUUAAAUUCAUUAAAUUCUCUCGUGAGCCUCAAGAUCUUACUACUACGCAGUCGACAAGUUCGGAGCUAAUAAGGCUACCACUAUAAACGUGAAACCUUUACCUUGGUUAUUAUUUACUAGAAGUGCUUACGAAUCGCACGAGUUAUUGUAACCAUCCAUUAAAUAAUAACUAGAGGUGCGUACGAAUUGCACGAGUUAUUAUUCUGCAUUACCAAAUCAUAACUUCCUUUAUUUCGAGAAUACGACGUGGUGGUAGAAAGUAUCAUUUUCGACGGAUACUAGGGUCGUUUUAUGAUCCGCUUCGCGAUCACUCGGAUUUGGGAACCAUUCCAUCGGAGACGACUAGCACACGUGAGGGAGUUCCGUAUCGUUUCGUACCCAUCGCGACAAAAGAGAAGACCAGCAACCCGAGUGAAUUAGCAUUGUCCCAUCCCUGGGCGAAAGACACCCGAAUAAUUAUUCAUUGUCUAUCAUCCAUCAGCUCUACUGAAGAGGACGUUUCACCGGGAGACGGUUCGUAUUAAUGUCGGUCCCCUGCCACGAACAGCGCAUAGCAGGUUACCGUCAAAAUGACAUGAAUCUCACGAAACUAGAAGUUCUUCAGAUCCGAGGGGAAGAUGAAGAAACUGCCCUGUUUUUUGCUCUUCAAACCCUAUCUCCCUGCUAGAAGUUUCCAGGGAACUCGAUCGCAUAUGCAGAAGACAAAACUAUUCCCGGAUCUCCCGAAGAUAUCUCCAGGUCAUUUUGGGGUACCCAACGAAUACUCUUACGAGAUAUGAAUUGCAUGCGUUUCAGCUGCCGGGUUCUGGAAUAGGAACCGGAUUCUCUUUCGCGCGACCGGCUUAGGUUCGACUGACUCGUUUGCAACGGCUGUUCGCACGAAACGCUUCUCCAUGUCAGUCCUCCAGGAUCUCACUGGAGUAUUUGCUACUACCAUCAAGAUCUGCAACGACGGCGGCUUCAGGUUCUGAAAAAAUACCAAGCCCCGGAGGAUGAAACAGGAGAACGAUAUCGUCAUGUACCUUAGGAUACAUGCCCACGAGGAACCGCGUGGAGGUGCGUCUCAUUGCUCGGUCUUGCGACGGCCCGGCUAUAGGACGACAGCAUAAUAGAAAAACGCCCGUGGACGGAAAUCUAACUCACAUACUGAUCGAGCUGCGAAGACCUCGAAAAUCGACCGUGUGAGCCAAAAUUCACAGGAAUAAUAGCUGUUCGAUGCUCCUUUUUAGCACUAGGCGACUAUCUACCUAAGUUUGACUGUGCCACAGGAGCCGGCACGACGGUAUAUAAGUAGAUAGGAACAGUAUAUUGUGAAGGUGGACACACUUGGGGUGCCUGCACCUAUGCUACAUCGCCUAUUACGGUAUACGCUAAGAAACCUCCUACGGACAGCAGUCACCACAGCCAAGUGACAGGACUCGGAACAGCCCAAAACUCAUGCCGGCGAGACAGGGUGAGCGGCUUAGCCACGACCAACAUCAUCGCAGCAACUAGUUAUCACAGUACCACAAUCCUUGACACUUGUUCCAUAGGAUAGGAUGGGAAUUGUGGGAUAGCGGAUUUUUGGUAGAGUGUUGGGUUGUAGUUUAAUAAGAAAUUAAUUUAUUUCAGGGGCUACGAUUCUGUAAUUGUACAAGUCUCUUCAUCUUUUAUCAAUGACUCCACUUGACUUUUUUCUUCCAAAGUAUCAACUUUUCUUAACUUUUUUCAUUCAAAACCAAUGACUUUAUCGCGACUUUUCUUUUGCCUACAAUAUUGAUUAAAUAUCUGAUUAAUUUUCAUUUAAUAAUUUAAUAAAAAAGAAAGUUUCGAUGCUUAAUUGCCGAAAUUCCAAAGGAAGCUGACACGACAAGCGUUAAAGGUAAUCAAGAGUCCGUUUUCGUUAACAUAACAUGUAGCCAACGACCGUAUGCUUCAAAUUUUUUAAUAUUGGAAGUUUAAAUAGAUUUUAUUUUGUGUUUAUCGAGUUACAAACUUUGUAAUGUUUAAUCGAUGUACUAUGGUUUAUAUUGAAUUCGAUUAAGCUAAUCUUAUUUUACCG